RNAcentral lists this ribosomal RNA (265 nucleotides) under uncultured archaeon. RNAcentral describes it as "partial 16S ribosomal RNA". It matches the Rfam family "Archaeal small subunit ribosomal RNA", at positions 719 to 982 of the family's 1478-position model. The record is from RNAcentral.
AGUCACUGACAUUAGAUACCCGGGUAGUCCAGGGUGUAAACGCUGCAGACUUGGUGUUGGAAGCCCUUUGGGGGCAUUCAGUGCCGGAGAGAAGUUGUUAAGUCUGCUACUUGGGGAGUACGUCCGCAAGGAUGAAACUUAAAGGAAUUGGCGGGGGAGCACCGCAACGGGAGGAGCGUGCGGUUUAAUUGGAUUCAACGCCGAAAAACUCACCAGCAGCGACUGUUACAUGAAAGUCAGGUUGAUGACCUUACUAGAUUUUCAG